Molecule: ribosomal RNA, 467 nt
Filed under: uncultured bacterium
Lineage: Bacteria
Description: partial 16S ribosomal RNA
Rfam family: Bacterial small subunit ribosomal RNA
Source: RNAcentral
GACGAACGCUGGCGGCGUGCUUAACACAUGCCAGUCGAACGGAAAGGCCCUGCUUUUGUGGGGUGCUCGAGUGGCGAACGGGUGAGUAACACGUGAGUAACCUGCCCUUGACUUUGGGAUAACUUCAGGAAACUGGGGCUAAUACCGGAUAGGAGCUCCUGCUGCAUGGUGGGGGUUGGAAAGUUUCGGCGGUUGGGGAUGGACUCGCGGCUUAUCAGCUUGUUGGUGGGGUAGUGGCUUACCAAGGCUUUGACGGGUAGCCGGCCUGAGAGGGUGACCGGCCACAUUGGGACUGGGAUACGGCCCAGACUCCUACGGGAGGCAGCAGUGGGGAAUAGUGCACAAUGGGCGGAGGCCUGAUGCAGCAACGCCGCGUGCGAGAUGACGGCCUUCGGGUUGUAAACCGCUUUCGCCUGUGACGAAGCGUGAGUGACGGUAAUGGGUAAAGAAGCACCGGCUAACUACGU